This 74-nucleotide transfer RNA is filed under the name Elusimicrobia bacterium GWA2_69_24. Its description in RNAcentral is "tRNA-Pro". It matches the Rfam family "tRNA". From Rfam's summary of the family: Transfer RNA (tRNA) molecules are approximately 80 nucleotides in length. Their secondary structure includes four short double-helical elements and three loops (D, anti-codon, and T loops). Lineage: Bacteria; Pseudomonadati; Elusimicrobiota. The record is from RNAcentral. RNAcentral also lists the same sequence under 1 other name.
CGGGGCGUAGCUCAAUCGGCUAGAGCGCCUGCUUUGGGAGCAGGAGGUUCUGGGUUCAAGUCCCAGCGCCCCGA